This 921-nucleotide non-coding RNA is filed under the name Eupsophus emiliopugini. RNAcentral's name for it is "partial 12S ribosomal RNA". It matches the Rfam family "Bacterial small subunit ribosomal RNA". Lineage: Eukaryota; Metazoa; Chordata; Amphibia; Anura; Alsodidae. The record is from RNAcentral.
UGGUCCUAGCCUUGAAAUUAAUUUUUACUUAAUAUACACAUGCAAGUCUCCGCACCCCUGUGAAAACGCCCUUAAUCCCCGCUAGGGAAAAGGAGCCGGUAUCAGGCACGAAAAUCUGCCCAAAACACCUAGCUACGCCACACCCACAAGGGAACUCAGCAGUGAUUAACAUUUAAUAUAAGCGACAGCUUGAUUCAGUUAAAGUAAAAAGAGCCGGCUAAUCUGGUGCCAGCCGCCGCGGUUACACCAUGGGGCUCAAAUUAAUUUCUAUCGGCGUAAAGCGUGAUUAAAGUUUUUAAAAAUUUGGAGUUAAAUUAAAACUAAGCUGUGACACGCUUGUGAUUAAGAAACCCGAAACGAAAGUUACCCCAAUUAUACCAACUUGAACUCACGACAGCUAGAAUACAAACUGGGAUUAGAUACCCCACUAUGCCUAGCCGUAAACUUUAAAUUACAACCACAUCGCCCGAGAACUACGAGCAAAGCUUAAAACUCAAAGGACUUGACGGUACCCCAUAUCCCCCUAGAGGAGCCUGUCCUAUAAUUGAUAACCCCCGUUUAACCUCACCAUUUUUAGCAAAUCAGUCUGUAUACCUCCGUCGUCAGCUUACCACGUGAGCGAAACUUAGUGAGCUUAAUGCUAUUACACCAAUACGUCAGGUCAAGGUGCAGCAAAUGAAAUGGAAAGAGAUGGGCUACACUUUCUAACAUAGAAUACACGAAAGACUAUUUAUGAAACCUAGUCGGAAGGCGGAUUUAGCAGUAAAAAGAAAUCAGAACACUCUUUUUAACACGGCACUGGGGUGUGUACACACCGCCCGUCACCCUCUUCACAAGCCAUAAAUAGUAUUUAACUAAUUAACGCAUCAUAGAAGAGGCAAGUCGUAACAUGGUAAGUAUACCGGAAGGUGUGCUUGGAAA